RNAcentral lists this ribosomal RNA (397 nucleotides) under uncultured bacterium. Its description in RNAcentral is "partial 16S ribosomal RNA". It matches the Rfam family "Bacterial small subunit ribosomal RNA", at positions 523 to 918 of the family's 1533-position model. The record is from RNAcentral.
AUACGUAGGUGACAAGCGUUAUCCGGAUUUACUGGGCGUAAAGGGCGUGUAGGCGGUCUUGCAAGUCAGAAGUGAAAUUCCUGAGCUCAACUCGGGCGCUGCUUCUGAAACUGCAGGACAUGAGUGCUGGAGGGGAUAGCGGAAUUCCUAGUGGAGCGGUAAAAUGCGCAGGUAUUAGGAAGAACACCGGUGGCGAAGGCGGAUAUCUGGACGGAAACGGAGGCUGAGGCGCGAAAGCGGGGGGAGCAAACAGGAUUAGAUACCCGGGUAUACCACGCCGUAAACGAUGAAUACUAGGUGUAGGGGGUAUCGACUCCCUCUGUGCCGCAGGUAACACAAUAAGUAUUCCGCCUGGGGAGUACGGCCGCAAGGUUGAAACUCAAAUGAAUUGACGGGG